GACAGCAGUCGCCGCGGGAAUACGGAGGGUGCAAGCGUUAAUCGGAAUUACUGGGCGUAAAGCGCACGCAGGCGGUCUGACAAGUCAGAUGUGAAAUCCCCGGGCUUAACCUGGGAACUGCAUUUGAAACUGUCAGGCUGGAGUCUUGUAGAGGGGGGUGGAAUUCCAGGUGUAGCGGUGAAAUGCGUAGAGAUCUGGAGGAAUACCGGUGGCGAAGGCGGCCCCCUGGACAAAGACUGACGCUCAGGUGCGAAAGCGUGGGGAGCAAACAGGAUUAGAUACCCCGGUAGUCCCUGUCUCUUAUAC
RNAcentral lists this ribosomal RNA (306 nucleotides) under uncultured bacterium. Its description in RNAcentral is "partial 16S ribosomal RNA". It matches the Rfam family "Bacterial small subunit ribosomal RNA", at positions 507 to 807 of the family's 1533-position model. The record is from RNAcentral.